UGAAUACCGAUAAUAACGCUCAACCAUCGACAAUGCUAGUACGUACACGCGUUGUGUGCAUACGUACACUCGCGGGGGCGAACAAUAAGUGAAAAUUCCAGAGCCGAUAAUGUCAUCUGCGCCUCAAUGCCGGCACAUCCGACGGUGUCCCGUGCACCGCGGGCAAACAUUUACACAUACCGGGAAUGAAUGCAUCCAGAGAUUUCGCGUGUAUCCCAUUAUCGGUAUAUGAAAAAUUCAGCGGCUUCGUCGGGGCUUCCCCCGUCUUAUUUACACAGCGUCUCGUAUGCGUUCGGCCAACGAUGGCGUUCGUAUAAACUGCGCAAUUUGAUUACACGGCUUCGAAUUUUUUGUUGUCGCUUGAAUUAUUAGGCGAACGAACGGUACGUCAGGUCGAGGUGCAUUUUAGCGACCUCGGAAGCUUGGAAAAUAUGGCCUCGGGAAAUAUGGAAUAUUGUUUAUCAGGAUCUGUUUUUUACAAUUCGCGAGUUAUUAGAAUUUUUUAAUUUUAAAAUUGAUAGAAUUCUGUUUCCUCCAAAUGCGAAUGCACGUGCAGGUUUGAAGAGGGUUGACCUCUAAGGGUAAUUGUAUUUUCGGCGAACAUUUAUUUUUCCGAGGGGCAUUUUGUCUGCUUCUACGAGUGAAAUACUUUCGGUAGACUUCACCCCUGACAAAUGUUUGCAAAGAGCGUUGAUUAAUGGUUCCAAAUGUCCAAGCAACUGGAUCGUUUAGCGUUAUUGUCGGCCGAGUGGAUCCUUUAAUUCAAAUUUUCUUCAGGCCAUCCCCCGUUCAGUUUCCCCUUGUUUUUUUUACAAAAUUUUUUUUUAAAUCAUUAAAGAACAGUAAAGUAAAAAAGAAAAAUAAAAAUUGCAAACCUCUUGAAAAUACUUGUAAAAUACUUGCACCUACAAAAAUAAGAUUCUCGUCGAAUCACCUCGCAUCCAAUUAAUAAAACGACCAAGAGACUAGCCAGGCUGCUGCCCCCUGGAUCGACCACAGAAGUGAAACACUGCAGAAGUCAUCGCAGAGGUUAACCCGGGCAGUCCCUUCCGUUCCUCAAUCUAUCAGCGACAGCGAUUUCCCGGCAAUUAGGAGACCCGAUCGACGCCGAGAGAGAAAGGUCUAUUAAUGUCAUUCGAUGGCCCCAGUUGGCCGAGAGAUGGCGAUCUCGAUUUGUCCUGCGGCCCCUUCGCGAUUGGUCGACGAUUUUUCUGGCACUGAAUCUAAAAUCAUUCCCGCCUCCCCUCUCCCCCGCGUUGCACCGUCCUCAGCAUCGCGAAGAGGGAACCAAGCUCGUACGGAGUGUAUUGUAUUCGUCUAUCGGUCGUUUAGCACCUUCCGCGCCAUCUUCCCUUCCGUUUUAGGCCCCUGUACGGUAUUCUAAACUUAGCCCGUCUCUCUCGCUCUCUUUCUUUUUCCCCACGGUUCCCUCCUUCGGGCACCGUUCGUCGUCUCCUUCAACCUCGUCGCGGACACGGAGUCACCCGAUCGCCGUCUCGCCUCGUCGUCGGUUUGCAUCCUCGUUCUUUCCGGUACCCCGAAGUCCGGGAACCUGCGGCGCGACCUCUGAAUCGCGAGUCGUUUCGCGGGAAUACCCACGAUUUUCGGCCCGCACGAACCCGGCCCCUCCGUCGAUCGAGAAAGUGACGUACCCUUCACUUCGGUUGUUUACCCGCGACGGUCAAGCCAGCCGUGCGACUCGAGAAACGUGAUAGUGUCGCGUUAGAGUGAAGCCGAGAAGUGACACCGUCCUCAGGUGUAACGACCUUCCCCCGUUGUACGCGCCAGAGGAAAACGGCCAAGACUCGGGCUUCUGCCGCUUGUUGACCGAGUGUCUUCAAGCUGGAGCUGGCAAAGAGGGCUUUCGGCCUGAGGGGGUAACGCGUGGAAAUGCUACGCAACAACGAAGGGGCGUUUCGAGAGACGCUCACGUGAAAUCAAGGCGGAAAACCACGUAACCGCGAAAUGGUUUGAACGUGCCUAUAUCACCCCCGGUAAGAGAUUCUUGUCAUUCAUAUUCUACCUGAAAGCUGCCAAAACACAAGAUCCCUUCAAUGAGUAAGAGACUCUUAUAAUUGAUAAUUUACCUGAAAGCUGCAAAGGACAUCCUUCGAACGAGUAAGAGAUCCUUAGAAUUCAUACUUUACCCGAAAGCUGUCAAAGCGCACAAUUCCCCCAACGAGUAAGAAACUCUUGUAAUUCAUGUCUAACCUGGAGGCUGCCAAAGCACAAAAUCCCUUCAAGGAUGCAAGGACUGAGCAUACCUGGGAGCGUUUGAGAAGCACGUCCCCCGAGACCCCUCCAGCCAAAAUCACUCGCCUAACCUCUCCCCUGUCCUCCUUAUCCUCCUCCACACCCUUUCCCUCCGCAAAUCUCGAGAAGAAAAUCCCUCAUCGCAAUCACAGAAUCCGUGUCUUCGUUAUGGACGGUAUGGAUUCGAAGCCAGCCUUGAACGAUGACCCUUCGGUCACCCUGACCAUCCGCCUGAUCAUGCAGGGCAAGGUAAGUUCGGUUCGUCAACCGACCUGCUACUCCGAGAACGACUCCGACUUGCCUUCCGUUUCCUAGAACUCGACGCAAAAUGCCUAGCAACGUCUAGCAACAACUGAUACACUAGAUGAAAUACGAAACCGAAGCGCACUUACAAGUUUCAAUUCCAUUUAUAAAUCGAAUCAAUUUUCCAACGAUUACGUAAGGGUACGGGAACAGCUCGCGCUGUAAAACCACCCGACACAAUUCCAUUUACCCGUCGAAGACAAAUUGCAAAUAUAAAUCAGGGGCGUUGUUGCACAACGCUGCACGAAAACACGGAUUUAUCGUUCGGUGACGGUAUUAUUACUGGGCCUUUUCUUUCUUUUCAUUUAGAAUGGUACGUAAUUUUCUGUACGUAGAUCAUUGCACGUACUAUUAUUGGGGGAUGAAGGACUAGUCGAAUUUUUUCGGCAGUCCAAAUAUUCGAACAUUUCAGCGAUGAAUAGUUUAAUUUUCUUGCAUUUGUCGAGAUACAGUAUUUAAUUUUACAUAUAAUUACGUAGAUGUAGCAUUGCACCGUCUGUACGGCUGGUUACUGUCCAGCGAUGGUCCAGUGGUCCACCUAAUCCAGUCAUUUUUGUUCGUAAUCGGAAAGAUACGAAUUUUAAAGAUUUUUUCCUCCAUUUUUGGGGAUUACGCGCGCUCAUGUUUUGCUCGCAAUAAAAGCUCUCGGACGGAUUUAAAAGGGAAUCCUUUCAUCUCGUCCUUUUUUCUUGUCCCCGCGGAUAAUAUUGCAACUUGAGUGGCGGUCGCGUGUGCGCUGCUCGAAAAACAAAUAUCAACGAGUGGGUGACCGUGCAGAAGGGUGUAGGUACAGUGCUUGUCAACCUUUCGUAGCUUGGGACUCGCUUCUUUAUAUUCCUCUUCGUGUCGGACAGCGUGGCUAACUUAGAAACUACUUGUAUCGACUAAAUAAAAUUAAACGUGGAACGUAAACAAGGAAUUGGAAGACUUACUAUUCAUAAGUUAUACACAGAGAGAAAAUAUA
This is an RNA transcript of Hylaeus anthracinus, 3520 nucleotides long. RefSeq lists it as uncharacterized. Lineage: Eukaryota; Metazoa; Arthropoda; Insecta; Hymenoptera; Colletidae. The transcript has 7 exons. The record is from RefSeq and is a predicted model, not a curated record.